UACAGACGUCNAACUACAGCACGACUGUGCUAGCGCGAGAAAAUCAGCCCUCUAGAAGGGGAUAACGGCUGGAAACGGCCGCUAAUACCCCAUAUGCCGAGAGGUGAAAUGAAUUUCGCCUGAGGAUGAGCUCGCGUCUGAUUAGCUAGUUGGUGUGGAAAAGGCUCACCAAGGCACUCGAUCAGUAGCUGGUCUGAGAGGAUGAUCAGCCACACUGGGACUGAGACACGGCCCAGACUCCUACGGGAGGCAGCAGUGGGGAAUUUUCCGCAAUGGGCGCAAGCCUGACGGAGCAUCGCCGCGUGAGGGAUGAAGGCCUCUGGGCUGUAAACCUCUUUUAUCAUGGAAGAAGAUCUGACGGUACUUGAUGAAUAAGCCACGGCUAAUUCCGUGCCAGCAGCCGCGGUAAUACGGGAGUGGCAAGCGUUAUCCGGAAUUAUUGGGCGUAAAGCGUCCGCAGGCGGAUUUACAUGUCUGUCGUUAAAACGUGGAGCUCACCUCCAUUUCGGCGAUGGAAACUGUAAGACUAGAGUGUGGUAUGGGCAGAGGGAAUCCCCGGUGUAGCGGUGAAAUGCGUAGAUAUCGGUAAGAACACCAGUGACGAAGGCGCUCUGCUGGGCCAUAACUGACGCUCAUGGACGAAAGCUAAGGGAGCGAAAGGGAUUAGAUCCCCUUGUAGUCCUAGCCGUAA
This 691-nucleotide ribosomal RNA is filed under the name uncultured cyanobacterium. RNAcentral's name for it is "bacterial SSU rRNA". It matches the Rfam family "Bacterial small subunit ribosomal RNA", at positions 79 to 805 of the family's 1533-position model. Lineage: Bacteria; Bacillati; Cyanobacteriota. The record is from RNAcentral.